RNAcentral lists this ribosomal RNA (1485 nucleotides) under Triticum aestivum (bread wheat). RNAcentral's name for it is "partial small subunit ribosomal RNA". The record is from RNAcentral. Lineage: Eukaryota; Viridiplantae; Streptophyta; Magnoliopsida; Poales; Poaceae.
AUGAAGGUCUCCACUUUGCAGUCGCUGCUUCUUGUGAUCAUCUUGUCUAGUUCCUGCAGCCUGAGUGCAAAUGCAGGUGCUGGAGAUCACCAUGAACACAAACAUUUCAUGGUUGUGCCAACAAGCUCCCUAAAGCACAUCCCAGAAGACGCCGCCUGCUCCGGACACAAGGUGAUACCGUCAAACGGCACCGCCUGGGUGCCGAUGAACUGCUCGCACGGUCCGUGCUCAUCAACAUCGUCGAGGGCAUCAGAGGAUAUAGGCAUCGAUGUCGAUGACAUGCUUCUGUGGGACCAGCUCCGCACCAGCUACAUCCGGACGCAGCUCUCUGCUGAUAUCGGCAGUGUCGGUGCGGGGAUACCAAUAAUUGCCAGAUCUACCACGGUUUCUAACCGGGAUUAUAUGCUGUCUUCGACAGCUUCAGUCGGGACAAACUCAGGGACAUCGAACUCGAUCGAAAAAUCUGAUCAGACUCCGCCCGGCGAGCACCAUGCCACUAUGAGCCAGACGGUGGUCGUCGACACGAGCAGCGACAUCCCCUGGGUGCAGUGUCUCCCGUGCCCCAUCCCGCAGUGCCACCUCCAGAAGGAUCCCUUCUAUGACCCUGCCAAGUCGAGUACGUUCGCACCAAUCACAUGUGGCUCACCGGCCUGCAAGGUGCUAGGCAGCAGCUACGGCAAUGGCUGCUCAACCACCACCGAUGAGUGCAAGUACAUUGUAAAUUAUGGCGACGGUAAGGCAACUACCGGGACGUAUGUUACUGACACGCUGACGAUGUCCCCAACCAUUGUGGUGAAGGACUUCCGGUUUGGGUGCAGCCAUGCCGUGAGGGGCUCCUUCAGCAACCAGAAUGCAGGCAUCCUGGCACUCGGCGGCCGUCGCGGGUCGCUUCUACAGCAGACAGCAGAGGCCUAUGGUAACGCAUUCUCCUACUGCAUCCCACAGCCGAGCUCCGCCGGCUUCCUCUCGUUGGGCGGGCCGGUGGAGGCUUCGUUGAAGUUUGCACAUACACCUCUCAUCAAGAACAAACAUACACCAACAUUCUACAUCGUGCACCUGGAGGCGAUCAUCGUGGCCGGGAAGCAACUGAGCGUGCCGCCAACAGCUUUUGCCACGGGCGCGGUGAUGGAUUCUGGCGCAGUCGUCACGCAGCUGCCGCCACCAGUGUACGCUGCACUACGAACAGCGUUCAGAAGCGCCAUGGCAGCGUAUGGCCCACUGGCGGCACCCGUGCGCAACCUCGACACAUGCUACGACUUCACCCGCUUCCCUGAGGUGAAGGUCCCAAAGGUUUCUCUCGUAUUCGCUGGCGGCGCCACCUUGGAGCUCGACCCGGCAUCCAUAAUGUUGGAUGGCUGCUUGGCGUUCGCGGCCACCCCCGGUGAAGAAUCCGUCGGCUUCAUCGGCAACGUGCAGCAGCAGACUUACGAGGUUCUCUAUGACGUCGGCGGCGGCUCCGUGGGAUUCCGCCCUGCUGCGUGCUGA